GAUGAAGAACGUAGCGAAAUGCGAUACUUGGUGUGAAUUGCAGAAUCCCGUGAACCAUCGAGUCUUUGAACGCAAGUUGCGCCCGAAGCCAUUAGGCCGAGGGCACGCCUGCCUGGGCGUCACACGUCGUUGCCCCCCCAUCUACUCCUUCGGGAUUGCGGGGGGCGGAUGAUGGCCUCCCGUGCGCCUCGUCGCGCGGUUGGCAUAAAUGCCAAGUCCUCGGCGACGCACGCCACGACAAUCGGUGGUUGCGAAACCUCGGUUGCCCGUCGUGUGCGGUCGUCGCGCAUCGAGGGCUCGAAAAAAUUGCCGGGCUCCGGCUCGGCUUUCAACGCGACCCCAGGUUAGGCGGGGUUACCCGCUGAAUUUAAGCAUAUCAAUAAGCGGAGGA
RNAcentral lists this unclassified non-coding RNA (391 nucleotides) under soil metagenome. Its description in RNAcentral is "partial contains 5.8S ribosomal RNA, internal transcribed spacer 2, and large subunit ribosomal RNA". The stretch from base 1 to 122 matches the Rfam family "5.8S ribosomal RNA", at positions 35 to 154 of the family's 154-position model. The record is from RNAcentral.